This 477-nucleotide ribosomal RNA is filed under the name uncultured bacterium. RNAcentral describes it as "bacterial SSU rRNA". It matches the Rfam family "Bacterial small subunit ribosomal RNA", at positions 335 to 802 of the family's 1533-position model. The record is from RNAcentral.
ACUCCUACGGGAGGCAGCAGUGGGGAAUAUUGCACAAUGGGGGAAACCCUGAUGCAGCCAUGCCGCGUGUGUGAAGAAGGCCUUCGGGUUGUAAAGCACUUUCAGUAGGGAGGAAGGUAGUGUAGUUAACACCUGCAUUAUUUGACGUUACCUACAGAAGAAGCACCGGCUAACUCCGUGCCAGCAGCCGCGGUAAUACGGAGGGUGCGAGCGUUAAUCGGAAUUACUGGGCGUAAAGCGCAUGCAGGCGGCCUGUUAAGUCAGAUGUGAAAGCCCGGGGUCUUAACCUCGGAAUUGCAUUUGAAACUGGCAGGCUAGAGUCUUGUAGAGGGGGUUAGAAUUUCAGGUGUAGCGGUGAAAUGCGUAGAGAUCUGAAGGAAUACCGAGUGGCGAACGGCGGCCCCCUGGACAAAGACUGACGCUCAGAUGCGAAAGCGUGGGAGCAAACAGGAUUAGAUACCCCGUGGUAGACUGUCA